Xiphophorus couchianus (Monterrey platyfish) is the source of this 88-nucleotide long non-coding RNA. RefSeq lists it as uncharacterized. The transcript has 3 exons. The record is from RefSeq and is a predicted model, not a curated record. Lineage: Eukaryota; Metazoa; Chordata; Actinopteri; Cyprinodontiformes; Poeciliidae.
UUACAUUCCUCAGGUCAAAGGAUGCUCAGACAGCAAAGCAAGGGGCAGAGCAGAACGAUGGAGAGAUGGCUGGAGCUUCAGGGCUCCA